UGUCCUGGCUGGCCAAGCAGGACAAGGCCGCCGGGCUCCAGGCCUGGCGCACGGCCCUGGCCGGCUUCGAGGAGCCGACCCGGGUGGC
This 88-nucleotide transfer RNA is filed under the name Kutzneria sp. CA-103260. Its description in RNAcentral is "tRNA-Trp". Lineage: Bacteria; Bacillati; Actinomycetota; Actinomycetes; Pseudonocardiales; Pseudonocardiaceae. The record is from RNAcentral.